CGUGAGCUGGGUUUAGACCGUCGUGAGACAGGUUAGUUUUACCCUACUGAUGAUUGUCACCGCAAUGGUAAUUCAGCUUAGUACGAGAGGAACCGCUGAUUCAGAUAAUUGGUUUUUGCGGCUGUCUGACAAGGCAGUGCCGCGAAGCUACCAUCUGCUGGAUAAUGGCUGAACGCCUCUAAGUCAGAAUCCAUGCCAGAACGCGGCGAUUUCCUCCCACACAUCGUAGUCGGAUACGAAUAGGCCUAUGGCCCUGAAUCUUAGCUAGUUGGCAAUGGGACAGCGGGAGAAGUCCACUGUCUCAGCUGACGCCUUGCAAUUUUACCAUGCGUGGGGAUAAAACCUUUGCAUACGACUUAGUUAUAUCAGACGGUGCUGUAAAUAGUAGAGUAGUCUUGUUAUUACGAUCUAUUGAGGCUAAGCCGCGCUGAUUUAGUUUUGU
Molecule: non-coding RNA, 442 nt
Filed under: Blumeria hordei DH14
Lineage: Eukaryota; Fungi; Ascomycota; Leotiomycetes; Helotiales; Erysiphaceae
Description: Blumeria graminis f. sp. hordei DH14 Eukaryotic large subunit ribosomal RNA
Rfam family: Eukaryotic large subunit ribosomal RNA
Source: Rfam by way of RNAcentral